AGCAGCCGCGGUAAUUCCAGCUCCAAUAGCGUAUAUUAAAGUUGUUGCAGUUAAAAAGCUCGUAGUUGAAUUUCGGGGUUCUACCGUUGGUCGGGCUUUGUCUGUACUGGCGUGUAGAAUUUCUACCUUCUGGGGAACCAUCAUGUUAUUAAUUUAGCGUGGUGGGAAACCAGGACCUUUACCUUGAAAAAAUUAGAGUGUUCAAAGCAGGCUUAUGUCUGAAUACAUUAGCAUGGAAUAAUAGAAUAGGACGGUGGUCCUGUUUUGUUGGUUUCUGAAUCACCGUAAUGAUUAAUAGGGAUAGUUGGGGGCAUUAGUAUUCAAUUGUCAGAGGUGAAAUUCUUGGAUUUAUUGAAGACUAACUUCUGCGAAAGCAUUUGCCAAGGAUGUUUUCAUUAAUCAAGAACGAAAGUUAGGGGAUCGAAGACGAUCAGAUACCGUCGUAGUCUUAACCAUAAACUAUGCCGACUAGGGAUCGGACGAUGUUAACUUUUCUUGACUCGUUCGGCGCCUUACGGGA
RNAcentral lists this ribosomal RNA (520 nucleotides) under uncultured Scutellospora. Its description in RNAcentral is "SSU rRNA". It matches the Rfam family "Eukaryotic small subunit ribosomal RNA", at positions 569 to 1095 of the family's 1831-position model. Lineage: Eukaryota; Fungi; Glomeromycota; Glomeromycetes; Diversisporales; Gigasporaceae. The record is from RNAcentral.